Small RNA from Peptoclostridium acidaminophilum DSM 3953, 76 nucleotides. It matches the Rfam family "RAGATH-18 RNA". Rfam says of the family: Actinobacteria, Firmicutes, Fusobacteria, Thermotogae (1 example). Nearby to self-cleaving ribozyme genes NCBI's taxonomy places the organism in Bacteria, Bacillati, Bacillota, Clostridia, Peptostreptococcales, Peptoclostridiaceae. The record is from Rfam.
ACUGUGGAGAGCUAUACAAAACUGUAGUAGACAGGUUGCGUCGCAAUCGUUGAGGCGGGGUUCGUUGAAGCAGUAA